GCACGUUAAAGGGCGUAGGCCGGAGAGUAGGCAAAUCCGCUCUCCAUUAAGGCUGAAACCUGACAGUACCCGGAUUCUCACGAUGAAGGGAUAGUGGAGGUAAUCAUGCUCCCAAGAAAAGCGUCGUAGUUUGUUGGAAGUGCUCGUACCCCAAACCGACACAGGUGGGUGAGGAGAGUAUCCUCAGGUGCUCGAGUAAUUCAUGGCUAAGGAACUAGGCAAAUUAGAUCCGUAACUUCGGGAGAAGGAUCCCCAUCCUAUGGAUGGGCGCAGUGAAAAGGCCCAAGCGACUGUUUACCAAAAACACAUGUCUCUGCUAAGCCGUAAGGCGAUGUAUAGGGACUGACACCUGCCCGGUGCUGGAAGGUUAAGGAAGGUUGUUAGGAUUCGUCCAAAGCAAUUGACUGAAGCCCCAGUAAACGGCGGCCGUAACUAUAACGGUCC
Molecule: ribosomal RNA, 444 nt
Filed under: Ochromonas sp. CCMP1393
Lineage: Eukaryota; Chrysophyceae; Chromulinales; Chromulinaceae
Description: partial Bacterial large subunit ribosomal RNA
Rfam family: Bacterial large subunit ribosomal RNA
Source: RNAcentral